This 74-nucleotide transfer RNA is filed under the name Anaerolineae bacterium. RNAcentral describes it as "tRNA-Gln". It matches the Rfam family "tRNA". From Rfam's summary of the family: Transfer RNA (tRNA) molecules are approximately 80 nucleotides in length. Their secondary structure includes four short double-helical elements and three loops (D, anti-codon, and T loops). Lineage: Bacteria; Bacillati; Chloroflexota; Anaerolineae. The record is from RNAcentral.
UUGGGGCGUGGUGCAGUGGUAGCACACCGGACUUUGGAUCCGUGAACGGAAGUUCGAAUCUUCCCGCCCCAGUC